Molecule: ribosomal RNA, 210 nt
Filed under: Triticum aestivum (bread wheat)
Lineage: Eukaryota; Viridiplantae; Streptophyta; Magnoliopsida; Poales; Poaceae
Description: partial small subunit ribosomal RNA
Source: RNAcentral
AUGACCAUUAACACGACACAUGGUCAAACCAUCCCAAACGUUGGUAUUUACCUUCCAGAGCUUGUAUUCUCACAUGGCCAGCUAUAAGUUGCAUUGUCAAGAGGUGUGUCAAGAGAGACAACGCGGAUUUUAGCCAAGCCUAACAGGGAGGUUGAUAAAUUUGGGAGAAGCACCAAAAACAUUGGGUACAGAGAUGUUUUACAGGGGUGA